This is a long non-coding RNA of Homo sapiens (human), 215 nucleotides long. NCBI's taxonomy places the organism in Eukaryota, Metazoa, Chordata, Mammalia, Primates, Hominidae. The record is from Ensembl.
GGUGGAGUUUGGUUCGCGGCUGUUUUGCCACCUUUUUCUCCUUCUGGGCUGUCAGAUUUCUAAAAAGACCUGGAGGGAGAAAGCCUGAAGAACUUGUUAGUCCACAGCUGCCUCUCUGUCGAGGACGGCAUUUGGAACUGUAAUGAAUGCUGAAACCUUAUUGUGUUUAAAUGAGGUAAGAUAUGUUAACUAACAUCAGCAAUAACUAUCUUUGA